Fukomys damarensis (Damara mole-rat) is the source of this 606-nucleotide long non-coding RNA. RefSeq lists it as uncharacterized. The transcript has 4 exons. The record is from RefSeq and is a predicted model, not a curated record. Lineage: Eukaryota; Metazoa; Chordata; Mammalia; Rodentia; Bathyergidae.
ACCACCGUGUGUAAGGGACCUCAGCGAGCGUGGCUGUGGGGUUCCUUCAACAAUGUGGCUCCUGAGUGACUAAAGGCUGUGCCCGGCAGAGGAACGUUCAUUUUGAAAUUUUUCAUUGACUGUUUUCAGACUGUGGAUGACCACAGGAACUGAAAUCACAGAAAGUUUGUAAAAUCACACAUUUUCAGCUAAAUGAAACCCCAGCAAGAAGAGGGAAGCAAGGCCACGAAAGUGCGAAUGAGAAGCCAGAGCUCUGCCUUGUGGAGAGGAAGGCUCCUCCUGCAGAGCAAAAUUCCUUUCAAAGGCUAAGACCACACAGCAUCUCCAGGCAUACAGAAAGCACCAGCGCUGUGAGACAAAGACGGGGGCUAUGUGGACGCUUUGAAUUAAAGACUAAGAUGGUGAAAAAUAGUUGUUGCACAAGGAGAACUGAAGGGAUUACGAUUGAAUUUGCAUAAAAGCAAAGACACAGAAAACACUGCAGAGUCUCCAAAGGUCUACCUAACCUCGCAAGCACCAUGGAGCUGCCCUUGGACCAUGCACCAAGCAGACUCAGUGCAUGUGUUUGUGACAGCACUGCUAACAAAACCAACACCCAAAAAGAUA